This 72-nucleotide transfer RNA is filed under the name Marmota monax (woodchuck). RNAcentral's name for it is "tRNA.Gly". The record is from RNAcentral. Lineage: Eukaryota; Metazoa; Chordata; Mammalia; Rodentia; Sciuridae.
GGGGGUGUAGCUUCAUGGUAGAGUAUUUGCCUACCAUGUGCAAGACCCUAUGUUUGAAUCAUAGCAUCACAA